This 496-nucleotide ribosomal RNA is filed under the name uncultured bacterium. RNAcentral describes it as "partial 16S ribosomal RNA". It matches the Rfam family "Bacterial small subunit ribosomal RNA", at positions 29 to 507 of the family's 1533-position model. The record is from RNAcentral.
AUGAACGCUGGCGGCGUGCCUAAUACAUGCAAGUCGAGCGAACGGACGAGAAGCUUGCUUCUCUGAUGUUAGCGGCGGACGGGUGAGUAACACGUGGAUAACCUACCUAUAAGACUGGGAUAACUUCGGGAAACCGGAGCUAAUACCGGAUAAUAUUUUGAACCGCAUGGUUCAAAAGUGAAAGACGGUCUUGCUGUCACGUAUAGAUGGAUCCGCGCUGCAUUAGCUAGUUGGUAAGGUAACGGCUUACCAAGGCAACGAUGCAUAGCCGACCUGAGAGGGUGAUCGGCCACACUGGAACUGAGACACGGUCCAGACUCCUACGGGAGGCAGCAGUAGGGAAUCUUCCGCAAAGGGCGAAAGCCUGACGGAGCAACGCCGCGUGAGUGAUGAAGGUCUUCGGAUCGUAAAACUCUGUUAUUAGGGAAGAACAUAUGUGUAAGUAACUGUGCACAUCUUGACGGUACCUAAUCAGAAAGCCACGGCUAACUACGUG